GGAGGGUUCGCAUAGUGGUCUAGUGCACCGUGUUGGAAACGCGGCGAGGCGAAAGCCUCCAAGAGUUCGAAUCUCUUACCCUCCGCAA
Molecule: transfer RNA, 88 nt
Filed under: bacterium
Lineage: Bacteria
Description: tRNA-Ser
Rfam family: tRNA
About the family: Transfer RNA (tRNA) molecules are approximately 80 nucleotides in length. Their secondary structure includes four short double-helical elements and three loops (D, anti-codon, and T loops).
Source: RNAcentral